GGUAGACACCAACACCUCCAAGUGAAUGGGGGCCGUGUGCAUGGUUAUUUCAUGCUGCCAUAAAACCGAGCAGGCAUCUGUGUUACAAACACCACACAGGGUGCUCAGUCACACCAGGUGUGCUGCAGCAAUGUGUGGGUGAGAGCCUGGGGCCCUGGCACCAUCCAUGUGCUCAGCACCCUGGGUGAAGGCCACAAUUUGUCAGCUGGCAUCAACUUCCUCCUACUGUAACAAAGGCUUGAUGCCAUCAGGUGUAAGUGACUCCCCAAAACCCAGAGACUCAAACCUAAGCCUUAAAUCAUUUUCCCAAGAUCUGACAAACAUCCCUGACCCAAAAAUAUAUACAAAAAUAAUCUAUUUCCUUGCAUACUGCCAAGUCCAUCGUGCUCCAUAUUUGUCUCUCUGGUGGGUUUUACUUCCUCCCCUGCUCUGAGUGGGAGAGCUGACACAUCUCUGAGUAUUUCUAGCACAGAGUACCAGGAAGCUGAAGGGAGCUUGGCUGCAUGUCAGGAGCACAGGCAGUGCUGUACCUCACACCUGCAGUGCUGUGACAGUCCAGUGUGACCUGCUGUGCCCACAGCCACCUGUGUGUCUUGCAUUCCUGCAGAGGAUGCUUCUCUCCAUUUCAGUGGGAAUUCAGGAGUUUUAAUUACCUAGAAUUUCAAAGAGUUGUUAGACAGUGACUCAGACUUAAAUGCUGAUUUAAAUAACUUCCCCUUGUGACUCUCAGCUUGCCUGCAUAUGGAGUAGCUACCAUUCAAACCAGUGUUUGGAGGCUUAAUUAAACCAGAAGGAAGGCACAUAUGUAAGAGACUGAAUGUUACUAAAACCUGCAGCCUCAUUCAGAGCCACUGACAAAUUUUUCACAUCAAUUGAUUUUUUUCAUGUAAGAGUCACUGCCCUAAAACUUUUAAAAUCCAAACAGAUGAAAUGGAAGGAGGAAAUGCAGAGGUCAUCUGAGCUGGUGUUGAAAAGCAUACAAAUCUUCUGCAUGUGUAACUCCUGAAGUUUCUAAUAAUCAUGUUUUGGACAAAUUUUAGUGCCUGUAGUCCCUGAGGCUGGUAAGCCAAGCCAUCACUGUGACACAAAUCCAGUGCCAGGGCUGGUGCCCUGGCCCAUCCCAGUCUGGCUGCAGUGAUCUCCAGCUGCACAUUCCAAGCUCCAGUUCCAGGGGCAGCACAGGCUGUGCAGGCACUUCUGCCAUGGCUCUGGAGCUUGGAGGACACCACAGAGCUGCAAGGCCCCUGUGCAGUUCCUGCAGCCACACACGCAGGGCACUGCUGCAGACACUGACCUGCAGCCCAAGCAGCAGAGCAGAGCAGGGCACUGGCCCAGCUCUCCUCCUCCUCAAGGAUGGAUUUAGCUCCCUUAGGAGGCUGGGCCUCUGGGUUGUGCUGUGAGGAGCUCUAAGGAAGCUCAGCCGGCAGUGCUGUGCCCACCCGAGCAUCUGUGGCAGCAGUGUUACAGUGUGGGCUCGCACAGCCUGCCUCCCCACACAGCCAGAGGCAACGAGAGGCAAGCAGAGCUUUCGUUUCACUGCAGUGCCUUUAGAAAGCUCUCAACAAAAUCAGCUUCCCACACUGGCUCUAAAUGCAGACUGCAUUUAGAAGAGUGGCAGCACAGAUUCGGGGUUUAAAAUUCUGGUUUUUAUUCACAGCUUGCUGUGGGGCAAAGAAAAUAUUUAUCAGUGGCUGCUGCCUAACCUGCUGCAUGCUCCCAUGUGAACUAAGAUUAAUGACACAGUAUCUUGACUAUCCAAACAGAAAAAAAAAAAACCCCAAAUAUUCUAAAGGGACAUCAUUUGGCACAGCUUAGAUGCUGUGUAUUUAUUUCCUCAAUACAAGCUGCCAAUUUGAGUACACCAAUCAUCUCUGCUUGUAAGCAGUGGACUAUUAGUUUUAAACUUUAUUCCCUGACACUGAAUUUGCUCUCAGAAAAAUUUACUGGAGCCUAUUGUUCAGCAGAAGGGCAGAGUUGCAUCCUGCAUCAGGUGCAGUGUGGGAGCCCAGAAUCUGCAGAAAUGAAAGGGCUUUGGAAGAUGAGUGUGAGCAGACCAUGCUAAUAACCCUAACAAAGAAAUUAGGUUUUGCUGCAAGUCCUGUAAAUGUUACUUUACAAGCCUUACAAGGUAACAGCAAAUGAGUUCAGGGCAAGACAUUUCUCUUUCAACAAGGAAAUCCAGCAAUACUGAAGGAAAAUUCUGAGAAUUCCUUGCCUGCAACCAGCUGAGAUGGAGAAUUAAGGCAGAUUCUCCUUGCUGUCAGUUCCUCCCCAGGUCUGAGGAGAAAUGGCACCCAACACACAGAGCCUGUGCCAGAAAGCAAAAACAGCUGAUGGAAGUGUUUUCACACCCUCACCUGCUCCUUUCUUCUCCUUUUCACAUGGGCCUCACACCAAAGGUUGUGGCCAUCUGCCCUGGGCUCCAUCUACACCCCACAGUGAGUUAUGAUCUGGCCUCUGAUUUAUCCUUUGUGAGCAAUAACUGCAUUCUACAAACCUCAGAUUUAUAUCAUAGUCAAAAUCACACAAACCCUAGUCAGAACAACAGAUCUCACAUUUUAAUAUUCCUUGUGGAAGUUUCCAGGUUACUGUGUUUGUAGCAGGUAAGCAUAAAUUUCAACAUUAUACUGAACAAAUAAGCACAUAAUUUAUUCUACAUGCAAGUUCAUUAUUUACCCUACUAUUUACCAUACCUAGGAAAUUUUGCUUGAUGCUAAAAAGCAAUUCUGAUUAAAAUGAUAAAUCCCAAAUUGAAAUGCCCAUUCAAGUUAUUUUUUUAGAGUUGCAUAGUACACAAACACAGCACAACUUGAAUUCCCAAGCAGGUCUCCUUGGUGCCAAAGCUGAGUUAUUCAAUUUACAAACUGGAAUGAGCUUUCUAUUGUUUUUAUAGAGGGCAAAGUUUGUAGACAGAUAUAAUGCCUCCUAUAUCAAAGCUGACUACAGAAAAUCUGCAAGCAGCACUCAGUGCAGGUUUCCUUCUUUGAAGGAAGGCUGAGUGUAAAUUUUUCCUUCUUUGAAGGGACUUGGAAUCUGAUUUUGCCAGUCCUGAGCAGACUGACUUUUUGAACAGAUCCAAGAGGAGCAGCCCAGAUCCAUUCCCUCAGUGACCAGUGUGGGGGAGAAAGGUCCCAGCUGGCUCAGUGGGAAGCUUUCCUUUCUGUUUGUGCUGAAGGAGCAGGACAUGACAAACACAGUGACUCAUUUAACUAUGGACACACUUCAUCUUUUAAUGCACUUGUGAUUCAGGAGCCUGGGAAAGCUUCUGAGGCAAGUUCCACCUUAAAAACACAAUAUCAGAAUGUCACUGGAUUCCAAACAUCCUUUAUUUUAUAUCUGCUGCCAUAGACAGUAAUUGAACAGUGCUGUCAUCAGUGUCAGUGGGAAAAGGAACAUGGGUCUUCUUCUCCUGAAGAUGUCAUGUACAUUAAGAAGCCAGUCCAAAAUCCUGGAGUUAAGUACAAAAAGCAACUGUUUGAAUUAUAAAAUACUGUAUAUACAGAUAUAAAAAUGUCUCAGAAAGUGUCCCACAAAGUUUCUGAACUUUCAAGAGCAAGUCUUCAGCAGGGUAAGUAGGUUGUUGUCUUCAAAGGUGAGCAUCAGUUCAUUAGAGCAGAAUGUCUCAAUCUUUAUCUUCCUAUAUUACAGGUGACAGACUCUGAUUUUCAUCCCAGCCAGGGAUAACGUGGUGAUCCUAGUAUGAAGGUGUUUUUUCCUGGAGCUAUUAAUUUAACAAGCACACUCUCUAUAUAUAAAAAUGAAAUUUUAAAGAAAUUUAUACAACUGCUAGACUUUAUAAAAAUAUAGAUCUAUAAUUUUACACCAGGAAUUAUCCAAGCUGGAGCUCUUCAGGAAGAACUGGCUUUCAGCUUGGACAGCAGCAUCUCAUUCUUACGGCACUCCUGUUAACAGAGAGCAAACAAGUGAGGAGGAAUUGCUCAGACUCUGCCAUCUGUAUCUCCACAUCAACAGAACCAAACCCUUUCUUCCAUUUUGAAACAACUCCACAAUCCAAAGCAGCUUGGAGUGAGUGAUGAGGUGAAGAUAAUAUUGAUUCAUCCAUAAUGUUAUUCCAAUGGCAAUAUAUUGAAUUUAUGACCUGCAAGCCAGAAGGAACACUGCUUGACCACCCACCUGAAGUUUCUGCAUGUAGCUAAAGCAAAUUCUGCUUUUUACUUAUAAGUAAAAUAAAUCUGAAAUGGGCAUUA
Long non-coding RNA from Melospiza georgiana, 4208 nucleotides. RefSeq lists it as uncharacterized. The record is from RefSeq and is a predicted model, not a curated record. The transcript has 2 exons. NCBI's taxonomy places the organism in Eukaryota, Metazoa, Chordata, Aves, Passeriformes, Passerellidae.